Molecule: long non-coding RNA, 760 nt
Organism: Juglans microcarpa x Juglans regia
Lineage: Eukaryota; Viridiplantae; Streptophyta; Magnoliopsida; Fagales; Juglandaceae
Exons: 4
Source: RefSeq, a predicted model, not a curated record
GUGUCUAUCUAUCUUUUAUAUGAGGCUCUUAAGCUCAAUUGAGAACUUUAGGGGAUCUUGAUCCAUACUAAUACUUCAUUGUAUUCUGAUCUAUGUGGGUGGUGAGCUUUAUUAUUGUUAUUGACUUGUUGUGCAUGGCUCUGAAAGAGGUAUAUUUUCAGUUAUGCUAUUCUAGCUUUACAUGUAAUUCACAGGAUAUAUAUAAUUCAGUGUUUUGGCUAUCCGGGUGCAUUGAGUGUUAUUGUAUCAAGUUUAGAUCUUGAGAAAGUUAUUUUGCAUGGGCUUUUGUAAUUUCCACAUAGAUGGUUAUUUUGCGUGUUUACUAUAUAAGUAGAAUGGCUCUUGCUGAUUCAUAUGAUUAAACCUUGAACGUGUUAGCUUAAGGUAUGACUAUCUAUGAAUUUCUUGAAUUUUGCAGACCUUGAUAGGAUACUAAUGGAAGCACGACACCGUUGGCUUCGGCCUAGUGAAAUUUGUGAAAUACUCUGCAACCAUCACACGUUUUACUUAAAGCCAGAUCCGCCUAUCAGGCCUCGAGCUGGUUCUUUGUUCUUGUUUGAUUGAAAAGCUAUUCGCUACUUUCGUAAAGAUGGUUACCGGUGGAAGAAGAAGAAAGAUGGAAAAACUGUCAAAGAAGCUCAUGAAAAGUUGAAGGUGUGCCGUUCAAUUUAUUAUUUGAGGGCUUGACGAUUGAAUAUAUGUGUCACGCCUCAUACCUGCGGGUGACAUCUAUUCCAACUGUCACAACUAUCAAGUAUCU